RNAcentral lists this ribosomal RNA (913 nucleotides) under Bacillus subtilis. Its description in RNAcentral is "bacterial SSU rRNA". It matches the Rfam family "Bacterial small subunit ribosomal RNA", at positions 28 to 922 of the family's 1533-position model. The record is from RNAcentral. Lineage: Bacteria; Bacillati; Bacillota; Bacilli; Caryophanales; Bacillaceae.
GACGAACGCUGGCGGCGUGCCUAAUACAUGCAAGUCGAGCGGACAGAUGGGAGCUUGCUCCCUGAUGUUAGCGGCGGACGGGUGAGUAACACGUGGGUAACCUGCCUGUAAGACUGGGAUAACUCCGGGAAACCGGGGCUAAUACCGGAUGGUUGUUUGAACCGCAUGGUUCAAACAUAAAAGGUGGCUUCGGCUACCACUUACAGAUGGACCCGCGGCGCAUUAGCUAGUUGGUGAGGUAACGGCUCACCAAGGCAACGAUGCGUAGCCGACCUGAGAGGGUGAUCGGCCACACUGGGACUGAGACACGGCCCAGACUCCUACGGGAGGCAGCAGUAGGGAAUCUUCCGCAAUGGACGAAAGUCUGACGGAGCAACGCCGCGUGAGUGAUGAAGGUUUUCGGAUCGUAAAGCUCUGUUGUUAGGGAAGAACAAGUACCGUUCGAAUAGGGCGGUACCUUGACGGUACCUAACCAGAAAGCCACGGCUAACUACGUGCCAGCAGCCGCGGUAAUACGUAGGUGGCAAGCGUUGUCCGGAAUUAUUGGGCGUAAAGGGCUCGCAGGCGGUUUCUUAAGUCUGAUGUGAAAGCCCCCGGCUCAACCGGGGAGGGUCAUUGGAAACUGGGGAACUUGAGUGCAGAAGAGGAGAGUGGAAUUCCACGUGUAGCGGUGAAAUGCGUAGAGAUGUGGAGGAACACCAGUGGCGAAGGCGACUCUCUGGUCUGUAACUGACGCUGAGGAGCGAAAGCGUGGGGAGCGAACAGGAUUAGAUACCCUGGUAGUCCACGCCGUAAACGAUGAGUGCUAAGUGUUAGGGGGUUUCCGCCCCUUAGUGCUGCAGCUAACGCAUUAAGCACUCCGCCUGGGGAGUACGGUCGCAAGACUGAAACUCAAAGGAAUUGACGGGGGCCC